CCUCGAAAAUGGCACACUUAUCGAAAGAUAAGGUCGCAAAGCUAUGAGUCUAAGGUACAAUAAUCAUUGUACUAAGAUCGUCAAGUUACCGAA
RNAcentral lists this non-coding RNA (93 nucleotides) under Halobacteroides halobius. RNAcentral's name for it is "c-di-GMP sequence". It matches the Rfam family "c-di-GMP-I riboswitch aptamer". Rfam says of the family: GEMM was predicted in a large-scale screen for bacterial structured RNA regulatory elements. Genes associated with GEMM are involved in a diverse array of functions, including chemotaxis regulation, signal transduction, secretion and chitin. Lineage: Bacteria; Bacillati; Bacillota; Clostridia; Halanaerobiales; Halobacteroidaceae. The record is from RNAcentral. RNAcentral also lists the same sequence under 1 other name.